AGAAGACGUCCAUCUGCCCGAAGAUGAAAAGGUGUGAUGUAACAAUCUGUUUUAUUUUGUUCGCAUUUAUAACUACAUAUUAGCAAUAUCAUUUUUCGUUGAAUUGAUGCAUCCUUCCACUGGGGCAGCCAAAACUAAAUAGUGGUGGAUACAAAAGGAAGAUGUAUAAUGAAGUUCGCGUAAAGAAAAAGCAAAGGGCGAUAACUGAUGAAGAGACAAUUCAUUUGCCCAGACCUAUGAUUGGAUUCGGGGUUCCUACGGAAUCCUUACCAGCUGUUGUGAAAAGAACUCUGCCAGAGCAAGCUAUUGGCCCCCCUUUUUUCUAUUAUGAAAAUGUUGCUCUUGCUCCGAAGGGUGUGUGGGACACUAUGACAAGAUUCCUUUACGAUAUUGAGCCCGAGUUUGUUGACUCG
RNAcentral lists this unclassified non-coding RNA (413 nucleotides) under Hevea brasiliensis (rubber tree). Lineage: Eukaryota; Viridiplantae; Streptophyta; Magnoliopsida; Malpighiales; Euphorbiaceae. The record is from RNAcentral.